This is a long non-coding RNA of Cataglyphis hispanica, 918 nucleotides long. RefSeq lists it as uncharacterized. The record is from RefSeq and is a predicted model, not a curated record. Lineage: Eukaryota; Metazoa; Arthropoda; Insecta; Hymenoptera; Formicidae. The transcript is spliced from 4 exons.
UGCCCUACUGCGGAAAAAAAUAUAACAAAGAAAAACAGAAUAAAGUAUUGCAUCAUAUCAAUUUGGAAAAAAUAAUGCAAGCAGGAUUACAUUAUAUCCAAGAGUUACAAUAUUUUGCAAAUGUAGCGUCAGAAAAUAAAUUAAAUAAUACUGACGUAGAAAAUUUGAUGCGUUUACUGCGUUUAAUUGUAGGAAAUUCCAUGACUUAUUAUUUUGUGCGGGAUGAGAUAAAUAUAAAUUUUGUACAAAAAUCAAGAAAAUUGUUUUUCAACUUGACACAUGAAUAUGCCUUUAAAAGAAUUUUUAACUGUUUAAAACAAUGUCGGCUUUUGUAUAAACAAGUAAAACUUAUGAAUAUGCCGAAGACGAAAAAUAUUUUGGAAAAACAACUUACGAUCGUAGCACAAUUUUUGCGCCACAUAUAUCUUAUUCGGUCAUAAAAGCAUGGUUAAAUGGAAUAACGUAGACAGUACUAUCUCACCUGAAAAUUAAACAUCCCUCACAUUCAAUCUGCUCUACAGGUUUAGAGCAAUUUUCUUAUUGGAGAGACAAUAAUAUUGAAGAUAAUUUCUGGAAUGAAACAGAAUCAAAGCAAAUUAUGUGCGUUCUGGAAGAGUAUAUAUUUUCGGAAUUGGAAAUACAUAAAUUGCACCAAGUAUUAAAGACAACAGAUCUCGAAGCGAAAUACAUAAAAUAUUUUGCAGAAUCUUUUCGAAGACAUUUAUUGACUAUCACGUAUCACAUCAUAGCUAGAAGACUCGGCGUACGUUGCUAUCUAAUAAAAUAUGAAAAUAAUAUUGGAAUCAUGUGUGAACCAAAAUAUUAUACAAGUAUUUGGUAUAAUGCAGAAAUUUUUUAUCUAAGUUCGAACUCCAAUUUAUCUUAUCCAUCGAACAUUAUCAGAAGAUCAUAUCAAAA